CCAAUUCAAUGUAGUCAAAAGUCAAUUGGGCUCACAAUCUAGAUGUACAACAUAUUGUUCCUACACAAAGUACAAUGUAAAAUGACGCCUAUCCACAAAUCAAACUCAAUACAGUUAAGUCUUAAUUCUUCAGCAUUAACACCUCAAGCACAAUAUUUCAAGAUUAAGAAACACAUCCAUAUGAUGACAUCGCGCAAACAGGAGAUAAACGCCCAUCACAAUUUGUCCGGAUCUUGGCUGUUAAAACAGAAAUGAAGACAUGAGCCAUUGGCACUCCGAAAGCUUCCAUAUAAAGAACAUAAACAUGAGCCAAAUGAAGGAAUUAAUGCUGAGUUUUCAAAAAUACAAUGAAUUGAUUUUUCUUUUAGAUUGCUUCUAGCAAGAACAUUUCAAUUGUAGAGAAAGCAUAGAGAAACAGUGCUAUUUCAAGGAUAGAACUACAUAACAAGUCAAGCAAGAUCUGGUUGAUAUGACACAUAUUAUCGAUUUUAGUAAUGUACUGCCAGAAAGAAGUAAACCUGACAUAGUGUGCAAGUUACCAGCUAUAACAGAGACAUAAAAUGUGGCAAUGCAGCCCUAACAAACAUAUUUUUCUGUGAGACACAUGUUUAGUAGGAACAAUAGUAGGAAAAUGAGGGUUUGUUUCAGAAGAGCUAUAUACCAAAUUAUGGUCUGAAAAUAAGCUCAACAACCCUUCCAUUUAUUUUUGGGUUAAAGGGAGCUUUAUUGCAUCAAAUCAGUGUUCUAGUUACAAUCAUCCAACAUACUAAAAGAAAUAAAGGUGGAGCCUGGCCAAGCUGAACUUCAGAAAGAUUGUCCACCUGUGCAACCCUGUUUUGUUCGCUUUGAAUUUUCACAAAACGGUGAUCGUCCAGAAAAUUGCGCACGGUGCAGACUUCUCCAUGCAAUUUUAGCACUACAUCUUAUAAAAAUCAAAGUAAUGUCAGGAAUAGCAAAUAUGUACUUCUAAUAAAUUCAUAAAAUUCGAAAGAAUAUCACAUAAGUUUUCUUGGAAUUCAUACCAGAAGCGAUGGAGAAGAAAGAGUCUUGAGUAUGAUUGGGAACUUACAGGAGAAACGGUGGACAGAGGGUGGGCCACACGCCAACAGGAGCUGUGCUAUCUCUUUUUCCUGCAAAAAGAUGACAGUUUUGUUAAUGUUUUGGUUGUAAAUUAUGGGAUAAUCUAAGCAUACCGAGUUGCUGAACUAUGCCGUAUCUGGCAAGGGCCGCAAUCUGACGGGGGCCCAGCAGCCCAGCCCUGUAUUCUUCUCUGUAUUUUCACAGCAAAAACUGGAGCAGGACAAACCUUUACAGCUACAUAUCAGACUACACCUGCACAAAACAAUCAAUGCAAGCUAAAUCAAAACAUAAUAGGAGUCCUACAAGUACAUUUUGGGCAUCCCUCGCCAAAGUUGUACCCAAUAUGCGCCACCAAUGACUACAUCUUACUCAGCGGGGGUGAAGAAUUAGCAUAAAUUAAUUGACACACUUUUCAGAUUGUGACAUGAGAUCCUUAUGUACCCAAGACUGAAAACAACCAGAAAAAACUUUCAAGAAGCAACAAUAGUAUUUUUGUUCGGUGAAACGUUAGUUAGUACUAAGAACAAAAAGUCAUCAUUGUCAUUGUUUGUCUAGAACAUCAGUACAUAGAAGCUUGUUAAUCUGAAGAUUGUAUGCUGAACUCACCGAUUGCAAGGAAGAGGGAGUCGGACACGGAUGGCUUGUUGAAGGCAUGGAUGCGGGAAGCUGAUGGUGCCGGUCUGCCGGACACCGAUGCCCAAAUCAUAGUAUACGUGGGUCUCGAUUCUUGAACACCUCCGCGCAGUCGAGGAGCCCCGGUGUUCGGCCAAGCGCGGAAGCUCUUGCGUGUGAUGAAAUAGUCGCCCAGCUGCGGGGAAGAUCUAUUAUUCUUGAUGCUACUUUGGUUCUCCGGCCCCACGCAUCCAGCAGGUCGGCUGUUUCAUCAUCUCCUCCCUUCACGUGCUCCCGUGCACUGCGUUUUGAUUUUCGGCCGAAAAAAAUGAAUUUCGGCCGAAUUUCGGCCGUCUCGCUAGGGCCCGAUAUAUGGGCCUAUCGGCCGAAUAAUUUGGCCCAGUUUGAAUUUUUUUUGCCCGGCCCAGCUUCGAGAGCCUUCCAGUUAGGCUUCCGCUGAGACAAAACCACGAACCCACGCUACCUAACCCUAAAUCGCUCUUUCCCUGUCCGUCCUCCUGUGUGCGGCGCCGCCGCUGCGCACAUCUCAGGCGAGUGCUUCCAACCAUCUCCUUGCCCUCCUCCACAUCUCCGGCCAAGGCGCUCACUUCUCCGACCCUCCUCCACAUCUCCUCGCCUCCACCCAUCCACUUCCUGUCCUUUGUUUCUCCAAGACUGCAGUAUGGUGCUCGGCGGCUGCGACAACGGAGCUGAUGGUGCGCCAGCCGACCAGUUGAACGGAGGCAGUAGCAAGGGGCAGCGGCAACAGCCUAGAGGGCGGAGGUUGAUUGGCAAGGUACGAAUUUUCUUGAUGCCUUUAUAUCCUCCUACUUAAGCAACAAUUUGUCUCAUCCCUGGUACUUGCAUGCAGUUUUAAUUCUUCAACAAUUUCAGAUCGAUGUUACUUUGUUUCUUAGUUAUAAUCUGUACUGCGAUGUACUUGUGUUCCUUUAGAUUAAGGAGAGCCCCCUGGUAAAUGGCUUGGCAAAUGCAUAUAUCAUACGGGGGUAAGAAAAGUUGAGUCUUGUUAAGUUGAACACAGUAGUGUAAUUAUUAAUCUGAAAUAUACAUGUAUCUUGUAGUCACCAUGGAUGCUCUAGAUCUGGUAAUAUUCGUUUUGGUCCAACAGAAAAGUGGAUUACAAACCUUGUUAUGAACAUCCUAAAAUAUAUAAUUGUUCCAUAUAUUUGUGCAGUGUGCUUAUUUUUGAGCUGUUGAGAUCAUGCUUGUGCGCAACAUUAUUUUUUUUCUCAAGAACAGUUUAAUUUCAACAGAAAAGUAGAUGUUGACCGAUGAUUAAUUUCAAUCUUCAGCGGUACCAUUAAGUGGUGGUUCUAGAACUAAGCAUCAUUCUAUCUUUCUCAAGAACAGAUUACAGUUUGUGACUUGUAUGUUUGGCAAACUAGAGCAUCGAGUUGUAUAUAAAUUACUUACUUCCUUAGUAUCUAAACUAGAGCAUCGGGUUGUAUAAUUUUUUGUUUAUUAUUAAUAUGAGGACAACCUAGUAAGCAUUUCUUCCUUAGUUACCUAAUCUUCAUAACUGACCGGUGUUCUUUUGUCAUUUGAUUUUCAGGUAAUGGAACUGCAAAUAGGAGUGGCAGCGGCAACCAUGAUGCAAGUGCAAGUGGUUCCCAAAUAUCUUGGAAAACUAUUUGGUAUUUGUUCGUAAAUUGGUUGAAGUUUUUUGGUGUGAGUAGACAUAACAGUGCAUUGCGCUGUUCAUGUAGUGAGAUGAGGAUGAUCACAAUUCAGAGUAUUUGGAUCUAUCCGUCAUAUUUCUAUAUGGUAAGGCAUAUAUCUCGAUCUUAUUGGUGCACAUUUCUAGAGUAUUUGCUUGGUAUGCAGCCAGAUUACUAUGCUUUGCUUGUUCACACGAUGCAAAUUGAAUAUUGUUAUUGAUUUGCUAGGUUCAAUUAAAGUGAGAGUGAGGAUAAUGAUGGGGUGAGUGAGGACAAGGAAGAUGAUCCAUCAAUGCAAGAUCAGCAAGAGGCACAAAUGCAAGUGGAAAAAGAGACGCAAAUUCAAGUGGAAAUGGACGCACCACCAAACGAUGGCAAUUUGGAGACCCGUAGAUCUGUACGGCUUGUCAAGAAGAAGACCAAGGACGUCAACAGCAUAUACUUGUUGCUUAGAAAUCUGCGGGUAAGUCUCUUUUUAGUGUUUUAUCAUUCAUGAUAAUUGCUUAGAAUAUUUUAGUGACUUGGAGCUGCUAGUUACUUAGAUGUAUGCACUUUCUAUCUAUGCCUAGCCUCAUUGACAUGUUAAGCGAUGUAUUUAUAUUAUCCUGAAAUGUUACCACUUGACUAUUGUUGCACUAGACACUUCCCUGUUAGUCCUACAUGCAUCCUGAUCCUUUCUCUGUUUUCUCUGAACCAGAAAUGCCACAUGGAGAACUAAGGAUAUCAAGAAGCUUUUGGAUGUAUGCAAGCUUGGAGCUGCUGUUUUAUAGGUAUGUUAACCACUAUAUUUAUCCUUCAAUAUUUUUGAGCUUAUGCAUGAUUUUUGAUUCACAUUUUUCACCAUAGAUUUUCCUUCCGUAUGACAAUUGACAAAUGUCUAGUCCAAGCCAACAGCAGGUUGUUUGUGUCUAUGUUGCUUUCUUUGUAUCCUUACGAGUUUUGUUGUGCCGGAGUACAAACUAUAAAUUAGAAUUCAUCAUUCUAGUAUAUGGAGGCAUUUAACCUUUGCUCCUGAAGCUUUUUUGUGAAUAAAAAACUAUAUUGCUGCAGUAGAUUUGUUAUUUGAUUCAUGAGCAUGCAUGACAUUUGACUAUUGUUCUACUAGCUACUUACUUGUCCUGUUAAUCCAUUAUAUUUUUUGUUGCACAAAGUGGUAGAAGAUAAUUCCGAUGCAGAACUACCUCCAUCCUGACCCUUGCUUUGUUUUCUCUAAACCAGAAAUGACAUGUGUAGAAAUAGAAUAACCAAGGAUAUAAAGAAGCUUUUGGAUAUAGGCAAGCUUGGAGCUGCUGUUUCAAUGUCAUGCUUUAAUGGUUGUCUUUUGGAGCUGUUGUUUCUAUCUGUAAUCCUUUUAAGUCUGUUGGCUGUACCGGACUAUUUAAAGUCUGAACUACGCUGUGAUGGUUGAACUGAUGCUGGACUGUUAAGGGUUAUGUUGGAGGCAACUUUAUAACUAAUGUGUGCCUGUUAUGUUGGACAGAUGCAGUUUUAUUAAUCCCUAGAGCUUAUUUGCUGAAGUUUAUAUGAUCAAUCCUGAUGGUUGUUGUGCUGCUAUGAUUAGGCUUUGUUUUAUUUCGAAUUUUGUUCGAAUUUCGGCCAAAUUUCGGUCGAAUUUUGGUCAAUUUUUCAAAUUUUGAUUUUGCAAUUUCGCCCGAGAAUUUGCCGAAAAAUUUAAAAUUCCCGAAAUUCGUCCAUUUCGGCCAAGGACGAAAAAAAACACAAACCGAAAUUCAAAACACACCUCGCCUCGGCUCAUCUCACCGCGGCAAGGAUGCGACAUAUACGCAGUUUGCCAUGUCCAUCUCGGCCGCCAUGGACAGCAGCAAUGGGAGCAAGGCCAACCUCGCUCGGUGACGAACGCCUCCAGGCAGCGGAACCAUAAAAGCCACGGAUGAUCGUCCGGGGCGUCCGGAGGCAAGAACGUUGAAGCCCCGCUGUGCCUCCACCCAACCUCUCGCAACGGCUGUGACCUCCCAAUGGCUGUCCACCUCCAUGGGGCGAGCCGGAUAGGUUAGCCAGCAGUGAAAAUUGGCCACCUCCCGCCGCGCGCAUAGUCUGUUGCCGGCCAAGUGCGGCCCUAUCUGGAACGAAGGCAAAAAAAGAAAAAUCGUAAGAGGAUAGAAAGGCAUCAGGAAGAGCCGAGUAAGGCCAGUAGCGCAGACGGCUGGCUUGCGAAUUUUUUGGAUGGUGAACACCUUACUUCGGUCGUGACCUCCAUGAGCACCUUCCGUGUGCCGUCUCUCCUGUGUGCACCACCACCUCGGACGCACGGAAGGAGACGAUCGAGGGUUCUGGCAGGCACUGGCCGUCGGCGAGGUAGGGCGUAGACGGGAUUUGGGAGACGCUGGGAAGCAGCUGUGAGGUAGGAUGUCGAAGGGGAAGCCCUUUUAUAGGGCUAUACAUACCGGCAGUAUAGCGGUAGCAC
RNAcentral lists this long non-coding RNA (5796 nucleotides) under Triticum aestivum (bread wheat). Its description in RNAcentral is "long non-coding RNA (TAES_LNC027934)". The record is from RNAcentral. Lineage: Eukaryota; Viridiplantae; Streptophyta; Magnoliopsida; Poales; Poaceae.